Molecule: long non-coding RNA, 616 nt
Filed under: Phaseolus vulgaris (common bean)
Lineage: Eukaryota; Viridiplantae; Streptophyta; Magnoliopsida; Fabales; Fabaceae
Description: long non-coding RNA (PVUL_LNC000265)
Source: RNAcentral
UUGCAGACAUCUUCACAAAACCUUUAUCCAAAAACAGGUUUUACUCUCUAAGAAAUGAGUUGGGAAUAAUUGAUUUACAAGCUUUAUCUUAAGUCUAUGUUGUAUCUUUUAUUCCUUUUUUUCUAUCUAUUUGUGGAGACAAAUAGAGGGAGAAGUGUUUGGGAUGUAGUGUUCUAAUAUCUGCAUCUAAUUCUGUUUUUGAACAUUGUUAUAACUGGUUUUUGAUUUAAAAUGAAACUCUGAUACAAAUUUUAACCGGUUAUUCUUGCAAAAUAACUUAUUAUUUUUCUAUGCUGCACCUAUGCAUGUUUGACUAGUUUCUCACAUUGAUUUGGUUGAUGUUCCUCUUUGGAAAUCACCUAGUGGAAACUAGUUUAUGGUGCCUGAUUAACUGGAAUAGAUUAUCCUGAAUUUCUAUGUUUGCUUGUGAAUGCAGGUUAUACAAGAUUCUAAACAAGAACAUUCCAAAAAGCAUCCCAAGGAUUUGUCUCCAUCAAAUAGGGGGAGAUUGUAAAACAUGAGAGCUUUGAUGUUUCAAAUUUAUGAUGAAGGUUGAAGUUGUGCUGCUUUUGGUUUGAGCUUAGUCUAGGUUAUUUAGAAUUCUUGUAAAGAUCAU